Molecule: ribosomal RNA, 497 nt
Filed under: uncultured bacterium
Lineage: Bacteria
Description: partial 16S ribosomal RNA
Rfam family: Bacterial small subunit ribosomal RNA
Source: RNAcentral
GAUGAACGCUGGCGGCGUGCCUAAUACAUGCAAGUCGAGCGAACAGACGAGGAGCUUGCUCCUCUGACGUUAGCGGCGGACGGGUGAGUAACACGUGGAUAACCUACCUAUAAGACUGGGAUAACUUCGGGAAACCGGAGCUAAUACCGGAUAAUAUAUUGAACCGCAUGGUUCAAUAGUGAAAGACGGUUUUGCUGUCACUUAUAGAUGGAUCCGCGCCGCAUUAGCUAGUUGGUAAGGUAACGGCUUACCAAGGCAACGAUGCGUAGCCGACCUGAGAGGAGGAGCGGCCACACUGGAACGGAGACACGGUCCAGACUCCUACGGGAGGCAGCAGUGGGGAAGCUUGCACAAUGGGAGAAAGCCUGACGGAGCAACGCCGCGUGAGUGAAGAAGGUCUUCGGAUCGUAAAACUCUGUUAUUAGGAAAGAAAAAAUGUAUACGUAACUAUACACGUGUUGACGGUACCUAAUCAGAAAGCCACGGCUAACUACGUG